UUAAGAGUAAUAUCAGUUCCACCUUCCAAGCAGUGGACUGAGACACGCACUAGUUAGCGUUUUUUUGCACUCUGAGAAUGAACAAGAGAGAUUGUAGACAGUCCGAGCCACACCUUAUGGGUCGUUUGGUGGAAGGGAAUAUGAGCCAGAGAGACCAUACGGCUGUGUCCCUUGCUGUGCUCGUGCUGACACCUCAUCUUGGCUAGGUUUUUUCGUCCUGAUGGUUGAGUCACUGACAAGUUGGACUCCUGGAUACCUGAUGUUCUCCGGCUGGAGAUGGCGAGCCUGAACCCAGAGCUGAACUGAAUGGAACUCUUGUCUAAAGAUCCUCUUCUUGAAGUUCAUCAGCAAAGUGAGGCCUGGGGAGAGAAGCUCAAUCUGACUGUUACAUCCUGUCAUGCCACUCCUCCACCUGCAGUUCCCUGAUCCUCCACACCUGUCCCUGAUCCUCACACUCCAAUCAAGUCAACCUGUCACACCUGUUUCUACGGAAGCGUGGAGCUGUCACCCAAAUAAAAAAAAAAUUGGACCU
Long non-coding RNA from Melanotaenia boesemani (Boeseman's rainbowfish), 532 nucleotides. RefSeq lists it as uncharacterized. Lineage: Eukaryota; Metazoa; Chordata; Actinopteri; Atheriniformes; Melanotaeniidae. The transcript is spliced from 3 exons. The record is from RefSeq and is a predicted model, not a curated record.